AACAAGAAAUGUGUUUCUAAACCGGGCCCAAUCUAUCACGGCCCAUCUGCCAAUUUAUGGCAUGAAACUGCACAAGGCCGAAACAAAAUGCUACUGGGCCGGGCCCAACCCAGCGCCACUCUGUAAAAUCGCUUCCAGUUUGUCUUCCUCCAGAAAAACCCUACAGUUCAUCCCUCUCGACGCGCCGCCGCCGUCUCGCCGCUGCCCACCCAGAUUGACGGCUCCAAUUGGCGCCCAUGGCGGAAGAAACCAACAUAAAAAAGGAGGAAGAGGAGUUCAGCACCGGUCCUCUCUCGGUGCUCAUGAUGAGCGUCAAGAAUAAUACCCAGGUUCUUAUCAACUGCCGGAACAACAAGAAGUUGCUUGGUCGCGUGCGAGCCUUCGAUCGGCACUGCAACAUGGUUCUUGAGAAUGUUCGUGAGAUGUGGACCGAGGUACCGAAGACCGGUAAAGGCAAGAAGAAGGCUCUCCCGGUGAACAAGGACAGGUUCAUAAGCAAGAUGUUCCUCCGCGGGGAUUCGGUCAUCAUCGUCCUCAGGAACCCGAAAUGAGUACCCUGUACACGUAGAGAGUCUGUUUGCUAGCAGUACGUUGUGCUAUUGGGUGUAAGGUGUAUGCCAAAUGCUCAAAGCAUGGGAGUGUAAGUCGCGGCAGAAUUCGCUAUGUGUGUUGAUGGUGGGG
Molecule: unclassified non-coding RNA, 681 nt
Filed under: Zea mays
Lineage: Eukaryota; Viridiplantae; Streptophyta; Magnoliopsida; Poales; Poaceae
Description: misc RNA Zm00001eb266880
Source: RNAcentral